Molecule: unclassified non-coding RNA, 700 nt
Filed under: Hevea brasiliensis (rubber tree)
Lineage: Eukaryota; Viridiplantae; Streptophyta; Magnoliopsida; Malpighiales; Euphorbiaceae
Source: RNAcentral
GCAAACUACUUAGGCGGAGUUAAUCUUAUUUUUUAUAAUUUAAUAUUUUUCUUGUGACAUUUUUUUAAUCUUUGAAAAACAUUUUGGAGCAUUGUAUAAACGUAUUUAGGAUAUUCCUAUCCAGGAAAUAAAGAAUAUUCAUAAUUAAUUAAUAUUUUGUUUUAUUUAGGAAUUUAUUUGCUGCUAAUACGAGAAGUCAUUGUCUAUAAAUAUGUAUGUAGCUCGAUAUUUUCUUAGGUUGAAAUUGUGAGUAGUUAAUUUGGCUUAGAGGCAUGCAUACUUGCACAUAAUUCUCUCUUCUCCUCUCUCUUAUAUCUUUCUCCUCCGUGCCUCGGUAACCUUAAGUAUAAUUCCCAUAUCAUCUCUCAUAGGUUUGCCAUUUAUUGUGACAAAUUCCCACCAAUUAAUUGCCUGUAUAGGUUUUCUUCAUUCCUGUAUAGGUUUUCUUUAUUGCAACCGCUCAUUAACCUUCCUUUAAUUCUCAUUGAAACCCGGAAUCCUCCAAUGGAUUUUCAAACUAAUAUUUACCAAUUAAACACUCCAACUGCAUCAAUUAAAUCUGAUCCUUUCACAUUCAUUCGGGAUCCUGCUUCCAUAUUUAUAGGUGGAUCCCAUAUAAAUGCGAGAGGAUGUACUAUUAUAUAGUGUCCUAAGGGCACUAAAUAAUUUUCCCCUUUGAACUCUCUCUCUCUCUCUCUCU